UACGUAGGUGGCGAGCGUUGUCCGGAAUCAUUGGGCGUAAAGGGAGCGCAGGCGGCCGUGUAAGUCUUGCUUAAAAGUUCGGGGCUCAACCCCGAGAUGGGCAAGAAACUAUAUGGCUUGAGUGCAGGAGAGGAAAGCGGAAUUCCCAGUGUAGCGGUGAAAUGCGUAGAUAUUGGGAGGAACACCAGUGGCGAAGGCGGCUUUCUGGACUGCAACUGACGCUGAGGCUCGAAAGCCAGGGGAGCGAACGGG
This 252-nucleotide ribosomal RNA is filed under the name uncultured bacterium. Its description in RNAcentral is "partial 16S ribosomal RNA". It matches the Rfam family "Bacterial small subunit ribosomal RNA", at positions 524 to 776 of the family's 1533-position model. The record is from RNAcentral.